RNAcentral lists this ribosomal RNA (468 nucleotides) under uncultured bacterium. RNAcentral's name for it is "partial 16S ribosomal RNA". It matches the Rfam family "Bacterial small subunit ribosomal RNA", at positions 28 to 507 of the family's 1533-position model. The record is from RNAcentral.
GACGAACGCUGGCGGCGUGCUUAACACAUGCAAGUCGAACGGAAAGGCCCUGCUUUUGUGGGGUGCUCGAGUGGCGAACGGGUGAGUAACACGUGAGUAACCUGCCCUUGACUUUGGGAUAACUUCAGGAAACUGGGGCUAAUACCGGAUAGGAGCUCCUGCUGCAUGGUGGGGGUUGGAAAGUUUCGGCGGUUGGGGAUGGACUCGCGGCUUAUCAGCUUGUUGGUGGGGUAGUGGCUUACGAAGGCUUUGACGGGUAGCCGGCCUGAGAGGGUGACCGGCCACAUUGGGACUGGGAUGCGGGCCGGACUCCUACGGGAGGCAGCAGUGGGGAAUAUUGCGCAAUGGGCGGAAGCCUGAUGCAGCACCGCCGCGUGCGGGAUGACGGCCUUCGGGUUGUAAACCGCUUUCGCCUGUGACGAAGCGUGAGUGACGGUAAUGGGUAAAGAAGCACCGGCUAACUACGUG